GGCCAGCCUCCCCAGGUGGGAGUAGCUAUUACCCGCCUCCCGGGCGGCUGCGAGCCGGCCCUCCCCCUGGCCAGGAAGCUGAUACCCGUCUAGGUGGGAGGGGACGCAGGUGGAGAAGGAGUUCCAGCUGCGGCGCUGAUGGUAUCUGUUGUCAAAAGCCCAGACGUCACACCAGGUUAGCGCCUGGUGCCCAUUAUAACACGUGUCAUUAGGAGAAGGGGCACGAUUAAGGCCGAGUGGGUCCAGGCGGCUCCUCCCGGCUCCCUCCUGGCCAGGACUGGCCCUGACAUGGAGGCACAGGGAGAAGGAUUUUGCAACGCCGCCGUGGGUAGCCGUGGCCAGCACCAGGGGCGCCAGGCCAGGCCGUGGACAUCGUCCCCACGAGGACUGGAUCUGGAGUGGGUCGUUGCAGGUGGCAGGGCCUCAGAGCACACAGCGGCCCAGUCUCAGCCUCCCCUUGGCUGGUGACCUUGAGCAAGUGGCCCUCUCUGGCCCUCAGCUUUUUCUCCAGAAAAAAGUGCGAUUAAAGGACCUUUUAAAAGUGA
Long non-coding RNA from Marmota monax (woodchuck), 545 nucleotides. RefSeq lists it as uncharacterized. The transcript has 2 exons. The record is from RefSeq and is a predicted model, not a curated record. Lineage: Eukaryota; Metazoa; Chordata; Mammalia; Rodentia; Sciuridae.